Molecule: long non-coding RNA, 932 nt
Filed under: Chrysolophus pictus (golden pheasant)
Lineage: Eukaryota; Metazoa; Chordata; Aves; Galliformes; Phasianidae
Description: lncRNA (ENSCPIG00010004869.1)
Source: RNAcentral
CGCUACUUCUCGCGAGAGCGGUAGGAAAGGUCGGCCGCGGGCCGUCAGCGUUGGGCCUUAAGUGAGAAGUUUGCGACGUAGCGCCCGGGGCGCUGUUCGAGGUCUUCGGGUUGACCUUCUCCGCCAUUAUGGUUUGUCGCUGAGUUGUGGUGCAGCGGUCUGGGGCCUUUUUGUGGCACUGAGCCUUAGGACUGCCAUGGGGCUGCUGUGGUGAGGCCGGCAUCUGGGGAAUUUGCCUCAGUUGUGUGAACCACAUACAUUUUUAAGGAAAAGUGCAGAGACACGUAGUCAUAUAAAAACAAAAGAGAAGAAAAUAAAGAUGCUGGAAAACAACUCUGAAGCUCCACUAGAAUACAUGACUCCUGUUUAAACAAAAAAUCCUGUUCCAGUACUGUAGCACUAUUCUGCCCUCCAAAAUAUGCUUUUGGUUCACUGCAGUAUCCCCCACUGCUACAUUUCAUAACCACAUUCAGCACCAGCUGUAUCUACAGAAUCACAGAAUCACAGGUUGAGGUUGGCAGGGGUCUCUGGAUCCAUCUGGUCCAGCUCCAAACCCUGCCCAGGCAGGAGCAUCCACAGCAGUUGUGCAGGACCAUCUCCAGGCAGCUUUUGAAGAUAUCUGAGGAAAGAGACUCCACAGAGAGGAAGACUCUCUAGACAACCUGUUCCAUUGCUCCACCACCUGCAUAACACAGCAGANNNNNNNNNNNNNNNNNNNNNNNNNNNNNNNUCCUGCUGCCCAGGAGCAAACUUCUGUGUUUCAGCAGCUUGUGUCCAUUCUGUCCUGUUCUGUCAGUGGGCACCACCAGAAAAAGACUGGCUACAUCCUCUUUGCAGCCUCCCCUAGAUGCAGACACACUUGAUGAGGCAAGUAGAAGCUUCCAUAUUUAUUUUCCACAAAGAAAAAAAAAAUAAAAACAAAAACAACAACA